This 1930-nucleotide long non-coding RNA is filed under the name Mytilus galloprovincialis (Mediterranean mussel). Lineage: Eukaryota; Metazoa; Mollusca; Bivalvia; Mytilida; Mytilidae. The record is from RNAcentral.
GGGCAAUAUAUUUAACCUUAGGUGCAUUUUUAACCACAAACGAUGCAAACGGCUACGUGCGCACAUGAUUUGAUCAUUUGUUUCUAACAUACGUUUGUAAAGUUUAAAUAAACUUUGACAAACUAUACAUUCGCUAAAAAUGCGUCUACAGUUUGUCGUUCAUCGUUUGUUAGAACAAACGCUACAUUUUUUUCUAACUUCACCCUGAUUAAACGAUGUAUUUGUUUCUACGUUUGAAAAAAGUCUGUUUACCAACAACAAGUGCAUGCAUUAUUGAAAGUUCAAACAGGGUCAGUAAACACUGAUUAAACGAAGUCGAUGUAUUUGUUUCUACUUUUGUAGCGUUAUAGAAAACAACAACAGACGCCACACAAAGUUUACAAAUUUUGGGUAGAAGGAAAUGCACUCUAAGUAUCAUAUCGAAAAACACCAAAGAGUUCGAACAUGUAACAAAAAUUUCAGAAUCUCACCUAAGUACAUCCUUCAAUCAAUUAUCUAUCUACGUAUUUUUCGCACUAAAAAGAGAGGGAUGUUCCUGCUUGUCAUAACCCAAAACAUAUAAUUACUAAAAUUUAGGUAUUACCCUCCUUUUUUUUCUUUGAAGUUAAUUUCAAUAAAAAGGCUUUAUAAUUACUGUCUUUAUACAUUCAUCUGAUGAAGAUGAAGAACUACCAAUAAAAUUAAAUAUGCAUGAUAGAGGAGCAAUGUCCUCUGUGUGUAUAAAUUCUUCUUCAAAGGCUAUUUCCCCCGUAUAAUACGUUUAAAUACCAACAACAUGUGCAUGCGUUUUUUACAGUUCAAACAGGGCCAGUACACCGAUUAAACGAUGAUCGUGUUUCUACUUUUGUAUUGUUCAACAAACUAUAAUUACAAACGUCACACAACGUUUAACAAACUUUGGUUAGAAAAUGCACUCUAAAUAACUUACUUUGAAUUUAUUCCUGUUAGAAGAUAUUCAGAUUAAAACAAAUUAAAAACUAAAGAUGUAUAUAUACACCUGGAUUGACGCAAAUUGAUUACGCAAAUGUAUGUGUUUAUACAACGAGCAAGAUCUAGAACAAAAGAAUACUUCAAAAGUUCAUGGUCAUAAUAAAAAUAAGUUCCGUAAACAAACUGAUUUUUGUUUUACUUUCGAUAUAAAUGUUAGGCAUACUAGUAAAGAUAUAAACUGAGAUGUAAAGGGUGUGUAAACUAGAUAGCAACCGCAAAAACUUCAUGCAGACCAAACACACAAUGACAUGAUAGUUAUAAGGACAUCUGACCAUUCGUCAUUCUAAUGAUAACUUUUCAUCUCGAUCAGUGAAACUAAAACAGACACAUACAUGACAUACUAUUAGGUACACUAACACAAUAAGUUCAAAAUGUAUUUAAAUCUAUAAGGGUUGAGUUUGCAAAAUAGAAAACAUUUGGCAAACAAUAAAGAGAAGACAAGAAUCGAAUCGAAAAAGAACAUAAUAAGGUGCUAAAAUAUAAAGAAUAAAGAAUAAGGGAGAAAGGUGAAGUAUAGAGAAAAAAAUGGCAUUAUAAUUUAAGAACACAAAAAUGAAGAUCCAGACCCUCAUUUGGACCCUUGUUCAUGUAUGGAAAUACCCAGCUACAACGAGACAACAAAAUUUUCAAAGUAACUGAAAUAAAGCCGAAACAUCUCAACCUGUCGACAUGCUAAUCAUGCAAUUCCUUUUUCCAAAAUCUAUAGUGUUAAAAUAAAGGGCCGUGUAUGUAUGUCAAUAAGACAACUAUCAACUAGAGACCAAAUGAUGUACGCGGUUGUAAGCACCCAUAUGUAAUCAUACGGCCUUCAAUAAUCAGCAAAAUCUAUUCUAUAUUGUAACCUUGACCUUGGUCAGGCCUAUACUGAAACGUUAUUAGAUCCUAGCAUAUGUUGAUAUUUUCAUUUUUUAAUUCGGACAUAUUGGUUAUACAAAAAAAA